GCAGUGAUGGCCGAGUGGUUAAGGUGUCUGACUAGAAAUCAGAUGGGAUCUUCCCGCGUAGGUUCAAAUCCUACUCGCUGCG
This 82-nucleotide transfer RNA is filed under the name Homarus americanus (American lobster). RNAcentral's name for it is "tRNA-Ser". It matches the Rfam family "tRNA". Rfam says of the family: Transfer RNA (tRNA) molecules are approximately 80 nucleotides in length. Lineage: Eukaryota; Metazoa; Arthropoda; Malacostraca; Decapoda; Nephropidae. The record is from Rfam by way of RNAcentral.